CCUAACUCCCGAGCGGUCUGGGAGUCUCAGCUAAUCCCAGCAGCCUGCAAGGCCCCGCAAGGAAGUGAGCCCCCACCCCCACCCCGUCACCUGAGGAUCCAUCCCACAUCUUCCACUUUUGAGGACAGGAAAGAGAAAGCUGAGCUGAAGCAUAAAACCAGAGAAGCAGCAGCAACAGCAGCCAGAAGAGAGCCCGGGAGGAUUUGGAGCCACUUAGCAAAAUACUACCUAAAAGGCUCUCUUCCAAUAAGAAGAUAUCUUCCAUGAACAUGUCAGAAUCCUAUAUGUUCUUCCUCUGGAUGUGUUCUUUCUCAUAAGCCCCUCAGAAUUGUCCC
RNAcentral lists this long non-coding RNA (335 nucleotides) under Monodelphis domestica (gray short-tailed opossum). RNAcentral describes it as "lncRNA (ENSMODG00000040452.1)". Lineage: Eukaryota; Metazoa; Chordata; Mammalia; Didelphimorphia; Didelphidae. The record is from RNAcentral.